GAGGGGUGCCGUAGCCUGGUCAAUCGGGGUGGAUCGGCCACCCACUGGCGUAGGCCUGCGUGGGUUCAAAUCCCACCCCCUCCACCA
Molecule: transfer RNA, 87 nt
Filed under: Candidatus Geothermarchaeota archaeon
Lineage: Archaea; Thermoproteati; Candidatus Geothermarchaeota
Description: tRNA-Ala
Rfam family: tRNA
About the family: Transfer RNA (tRNA) molecules are approximately 80 nucleotides in length. Their secondary structure includes four short double-helical elements and three loops (D, anti-codon, and T loops). Further hydrogen bonds mediate the characteristic L-shaped molecular structure. tRNAs have two regions of fundamental functional importance: the anti-codon, which is responsible for specific mRNA codon recognition, and the 3' end, to which the tRNAs corresponding amino acid is attached (by aminoacyl-tRNA synthetases). tRNAs cope with the degeneracy of the genetic code in two manners: having more than one tRNA (with a specific anti-codon) for a particular amino acid; and 'wobble' base-pairing, i.e. permitting non-standard base-pairing at the 3rd anti-codon position.
Source: RNAcentral